Long non-coding RNA from Cyprinodon tularosa, 659 nucleotides. RefSeq lists it as uncharacterized. The transcript is spliced from 3 exons. NCBI's taxonomy places the organism in Eukaryota, Metazoa, Chordata, Actinopteri, Cyprinodontiformes, Cyprinodontidae. The record is from RefSeq and is a predicted model, not a curated record.
GCUGCACAAGUGUAUAUAUUUAUUUGCAGUGCCUCGGGGAUUUGUUUCAUGCCCCUGCACGGGACUUCUCAGUUGGUUUUAAGCUGGUAUAUGUACAUUCCUUUCUCGUUCUCAGGCCCUCAUUCUGGUCUGCAUCUCUUGGAUCACCCCUGCUGUAUUCCAGCCACGUCUGAGGGUGCUGAAGGAUGGCUCUGAAAGACAUGCACUGGAAAGGCUGCACUCUGGAUUCAGUGGAGGAAGUGGCUAAAAGGAGGGUGCUGUCCAAGCUCACAUCCUGGAUGUUGUCAUGGAGAACACCUUCCUCCCUCUACACCAGACUGUGGAAGAGCUAAGCAGCUCCUUCAAAGAAAGACUUUUACACCCUGUUUGUAUAAAGGAGCACUACUACAGGUCAUUAAUCCCUGGUGCCACCAGACUCUACAAUGAUACACCCUGUGUAAACACUCUGUGCAAUAACCCUGUAUAAUAAUCCUGCUAUAUAUAUAUAUAUAUUUUUUUUUUUAAAGGUAUCAUAUGAGGGUGCACUGUAUAUACUGUAUAUAUCCCAUAAUAACAAGUACAUUUCUCCACUGUGAGAUCAAUAAAGUCAAUCAAUCUUUAAAUAGCCUCCCUAACAUUAAAAAUGGGGUUCCACACAGUUGGAACAGCAAAUGGUCCUC